This 420-nucleotide ribosomal RNA is filed under the name uncultured Pseudarthrobacter sp. RNAcentral describes it as "bacterial SSU rRNA". It matches the Rfam family "Bacterial small subunit ribosomal RNA", at positions 358 to 790 of the family's 1533-position model. Lineage: Bacteria; Bacillati; Actinomycetota; Actinomycetes; Micrococcales; Micrococcaceae. The record is from RNAcentral.
GGAAUAUUGCACAAUGGGCGCAAGCCUGAUGCAGCGACGCCGCGUGAGGGAUGACGGCCUUCGGGUUGUAAACCUCUUUCAGUAGGGAAGAAGCGAAAGUGACGGUACCUGCAGAAGAAGCGCCGGCUAACUACGUGCCAGCAGCCGCGGUAAUACGUAGGGCGCAAGCGUUAUCCGGAAUUAUUGGGCGUAAAGAGCUCGUAGGCGGUUUGUCGCGUCUGCCGUGAAAGUCCGGGGCUCAACUCCGGAUCUGCGGUGGGUACGGGCAGACUAGAGUGAUGUAGGGGAGACUGGAAUUCCUGGUGUAGCGGUGAAAUGCGCAGAUAUCAGGAGGAACACCGAUGGCGAAGGCAGGUCUCUGGGCAUUAACUGACGCUGAGGAGCGAAAGCAUGGGGAGCGAACAGGAUUAGAUACCCGGG